CGGGUGAGUAACGCGUGGAUAACCUGCCGUAUACUGGGGGAUAACACUUAGAAAUAGGUGCUAAUACCGCAUAAGCGCACAGUCUCGCAUGAGACGGUGUGAAAAACUCCGGUGGUAUACGAUGGAUCCGCGUCUGAUUAGCUUGUUGGCGGGGUAACAGCCCACCAAGGCGACGAUCAGUAGCCGGCCUGAGAGGGUGAACGGCCACAUUGGGACUGAGACACGGCCCAAACUCCUACGGGAGGCAGCAG
RNAcentral lists this ribosomal RNA (251 nucleotides) under uncultured bacterium. RNAcentral's name for it is "partial 16S ribosomal RNA". It matches the Rfam family "Bacterial small subunit ribosomal RNA", at positions 103 to 354 of the family's 1533-position model. The record is from RNAcentral.